UCAACAAAGAAGAACUUUUAAUAUUAUGGAUUCAACAAUUAAAAAAAAGACCUAAUGAUAUUGAAGCAGCAAUAGAGAAAUUGAAAGAAGGAAGGGAAAAGAAUAAAGAAAGAUUUGAUAAAAAAAAAACAUCGACUAUGAUCCAAGACAAUUGAUGAUGGUGAUUGAGUAUUAGCUUAUGAUAGUAGCUCAGAAAUCAACAUAGCACAACAAAGAAGUUUGAAAAGAGAUAGUUUGGGCCUUAUAUUAUCAAAAGGUCAUACAACAAUGAAACAUACUUGUAAUAAAAACUUGAUGGUAUAGAAUUGAAGAUAUCUAUAAUAGAC
Molecule: long non-coding RNA, 326 nt
Filed under: Physcomitrium patens
Lineage: Eukaryota; Viridiplantae; Streptophyta; Bryopsida; Funariales; Funariaceae
Description: long non-coding RNA (PPAT_LNC002788)
Source: RNAcentral